RNAcentral lists this transfer RNA (70 nucleotides) under Leptodactylus flavopictus (yellow painted frog). RNAcentral's name for it is "tRNA-Val". Lineage: Eukaryota; Metazoa; Chordata; Amphibia; Anura; Leptodactylidae. The record is from RNAcentral.
CGUGGCAUAGCUUAACCAAAAGCACCCCGCUUACACCGGGAAGCUAUCUGUGAAACCCGGAUUACCACGA